AUGGGUGGUUCCAGCUGCUUCCUCUGCCUGGGGGCAAGGAAGGAAGUGAUCCCACCGCCUCCCCGGGCCGAUCCCCACAGCCGCGGCAGCGUCGCCGCCACCGCCACUGCGGCACGAACCUUCACCUUCGACGAGCUCGCCGAGGCGACCAGGAACUUCAGAGACGGCUUCCGCAUCGUUCGGGAGGCGAGCCUCUACAAAGGCUACCUCAGGAGCGUCAGUCAGGAGUUUCUUGCUCGUGUCCUGACGCUGAGCUCGUUGCGCCACCCGAAUGUCGUCAACCUCGUCGGCUUCUGCACGGACGGCAAUCGCGGGAUCUUGGUUCACGAGUACAUGCCAUUGGGUUCUCUCCAAAAUCACCUCCAUGAUCGGUCUCCGGGCAAAGCACUGCUAGACUGGAACACAAGGAUGAACAUAGCUGCCGGCGUGGCCAAGGGUUUGGAGUAUCUGCACCACCAAGGUGUGGUGUACCGCAAACCCAUGAGCAGCUCGGACAUCUUGCUCGGAGAUGGCUACCACCCAAAGCUGUCCCAGUAUGGACUGGCAGAGCUUCAUCAGCUAGGUGCAGAGGAAAUCAAGAGCUUCACGCGAAGUACUAAUAUUGCCCCCGAGAUGUUAGCUACCGGGAGGGUGACCACCAAGUCGAACGUGUACAGCUUCGGCGGCGUGCUGCUGGAGUUGAUCACGGGACGGACCCCCUUCGACCCCGCCCAGGCCGCCGCCGAGGAUCGGAACCUUGUCAUGUGGGCGACACGAGUGAUGAAGGACAGGAGCCAGCUCCGGUGGAUGGCAGACCCGGCGCUGCAGGACCAGUAUCCGUCCAUGGGUUUGCAGGAGGCACUAGAAGUUGCUUCCAUGUGCAUCCACCAACGGCCGGCCAUGAGAUCCCCCAUUGGCGCCGUCGUCGCAGCUCUGUCUCGCCUUGCCGCCUGCGAUGAUCCUCCACCUGAAUCAUCACACCACGCGGCGCCUCGUUAA
This 978-nucleotide ribosomal RNA is filed under the name Triticum aestivum (bread wheat). Its description in RNAcentral is "partial small subunit ribosomal RNA". Lineage: Eukaryota; Viridiplantae; Streptophyta; Magnoliopsida; Poales; Poaceae. The record is from RNAcentral.